This 798-nucleotide ribosomal RNA is filed under the name Glomus sp. Its description in RNAcentral is "SSU rRNA". It matches the Rfam family "Eukaryotic small subunit ribosomal RNA", at positions 314 to 1114 of the family's 1831-position model. The record is from RNAcentral. Lineage: Eukaryota; Fungi; Glomeromycota; Glomeromycetes; Glomerales; Glomeraceae.
AUCAACUUUCGAUGGUAGGAUAGAGGCCUACCAUGGUGGUAACGGGUAACGGGGUGUUAGGGCACGACACCGGAGAGGGAGCCUGAGAAACGGCUACCACAUCCAAGGAUGGCAGCAGGCGCGCAAAUUACCCAAUCCCGACACGGGGAGGUAGUGACAAUAAAUAACAAUACGGGGUUCUUUCGGAUCUCGUAAUUGGAAUGAGUACAAUUUAAAUCUCUUAACGAGGAACAAUUGGAGGGCAAGUCUGGUGCCAGCAGCCGCGGUAAUUCCAGCUCCAAUAGCGUAUAUUAAAGUUGUUGCAGUUAAAAAGCUCGUAGUUGAAUUUCGGGAUCAAUAUGUUGGUCGUGCCUUGGUACGUACUGGCAUUAUCGAUUCCUACCUUCUGAAGAACCUCGAUGUCAUUAAUUUGGUGUCUUGGGGAAUCAGGACUGUUACUUUGAAAAAAUUAGAGUGUUUAAAGCAGGCUCGCGCUUGAAUACAUUAGCAUGGAAUAAUGAAAUAGGACGUUUGAUUCUAUUUUGUUGGUUUCUAGGAUCGACGUAAUGAUUAAUAGGGAUAGUUGGGGGCAUUAGUAUUCAAUUGUCAGAGGUGAAAUUCUUGGAUUUAUUGAAGACUAACUACCGCGAAAGCAUUUGCCAAGGAUGUUUUCAUUAAUCAAGAACGAAAGUUAGGGGAUCGAAGACGAUCAGAUACCGUCGUAGUCUUAACCAUAAACUAUGCCGACUAGGGAUCGGAUGAUGUUAAUUUUUUAAUGACUCAUUCGGCGCCUUACGGGAAACCAAAGUGUUUGGGUUC